Molecule: long non-coding RNA, 510 nt
Organism: Corvus hawaiiensis (hawaiian crow)
Lineage: Eukaryota; Metazoa; Chordata; Aves; Passeriformes; Corvidae
Exons: 2
Source: RefSeq, a predicted model, not a curated record
GGGUCCCGGGGGCCGCGCGGUGUCUUUGGUGGCCUUUAGGAGGGUCAAAGGAAAGAGUCUCCGGUUGUGGGUGAAAAAUCUCCGUUGAGGGACACCCCGUGGAAGAGGCUGGCGCUGUGCUCGUGCCGGGUGCUGGAAUUGCCUGUCUGGACGUGUGCUGAGCUCUCGCUGCUGUGGACUGUGCAGCCUCAGUUGCUGCAGGUUCCUGUUCUUCUCACCAGCUCAAAGUACACGUGGGGUUUUUUUGCCCUUCUAUAUAGAGCUGUUGAGUUUGGGUGAUUUUCCUGAAUUGAGGAUAUUGAAGAUCGAGAAGGAAGAUUUGUCUCUUUUUGUGCUUUUCUGUUGUUUUUAGCACCUGCUCAGCAUCUGAAUGUGGUUGGAAUACUGGAAACAUGAAAGGUUUUGGAUUCAGUGCUUAUUUGUGCAAACCCAGGUUUUUUAUCUUUUCUUUUUUUUUUUUUUUUUGAAAGGUCUCCACUGUUCCUGGUAGUUUUAUGUAGAAAAGGUCAU